Methanosarcina acetivorans is the source of this 100-nucleotide regulatory RNA element. It matches the Rfam family "Pyrrolysine insertion sequence 1". The record is from Rfam. Lineage: Archaea; Methanobacteriati; Methanobacteriota; Methanomicrobia; Methanosarcinales; Methanosarcinaceae.
UAGGGCCCGGAGACUUCCCUGUCUGCUCAGGGAAAUAUAUCCUCUGACUGCGUUGGCGGCCAGAUCUCUUCGGAUAGCCACGAAGUCUCCCAGCUCAACG